AAAGGUUCUGAAGGCCCAGAGAGCUGCCCACCUCACAAGCCCCUGGGCUCCAGAACCAGCCAGUUCUCAGUGACCAUCUGCACAUCCUGGCCACUCAGAGGCUCCCGCAGCCUCACCUUCACCUCCAGCUUCCCCCCGGUGGGCUUCCUUCCAUCCAGGACCUGUGAGGACCACAGAGAGGGAAAUGGUAACUAAGGGGACAGAGAUGGGGAGCAGGCAGGUCCCUACAUUCCCAGGAAAGAAGUGAGAGGAGCUAAGAUGUCCUGUGGCAUGAACACAGGAAUCUCCAUUCAUGAAAACCCUACCCUCCCAGUAUUUGGAGGAGGAGGUGGUGGUGGUUUUAGGUGAGUCUUAUUAAAAAAGUAAUAAAUAAAUCCAGACAAGCAUCCUA
This 391-nucleotide long non-coding RNA is filed under the name Homo sapiens (human). Its description in RNAcentral is "novel transcript, antisense to CC2D1B". The record is from RNAcentral. Lineage: Eukaryota; Metazoa; Chordata; Mammalia; Primates; Hominidae.